RNAcentral lists this long non-coding RNA (947 nucleotides) under Anas platyrhynchos platyrhynchos (common mallard). Its description in RNAcentral is "lncRNA (ENSAPLG00000029930.1)". Lineage: Eukaryota; Metazoa; Chordata; Aves; Anseriformes; Anatidae. The record is from RNAcentral.
UCCCUGUUCUUAUCUCAACCCUUGAGCCCUUUUUCAUUGUAUUUUCUCCCCCUUCCCCCUUGAGGAGGAGCGAGAGAAGGGUUGUGAUGGCCUUUGGCUGCCUGUUGGUGUGAAACCACAGCAGAAGGUGCAGAAGACCUGUUCCCUCGACCUUACAGUUCUUGCUUAUGUCCCAGAGGUCUGACCUCAGUUCGAGGACUGUGAGUGUUAGUCACAAGUAGCUCUGUCUUUGAGGAACUGGAAUUAACCUAUCUGGUUUCAAGCUUUAAAUGCAGAUUAAAAAAAAAAAAAAAAAAAUAAAAAAAAUAAAUUGUGCAAGAGCUUGUUGUGCAGCUAGGGGCUGGCACAGGAUGGAGUUGUGGGACUUUUGUGGGACUUAGAGCUGAUUUCUUAUCUCUCGUCCACCCUGAGAAAAAACAGAAGUCGCAGUGCAAGAAAACUUCUGGUUUUCAUUACUGUUCUUCUUCUGUGUUGUUUUUGUUUUUUUUUUUUAAAGUGUCAGAGGGCUGGAGUUUGUGCUGAUGCAAGCAACACAACAGCCUGUUCUCUGCCAGCAAAUUAAUGAGUCAUACAGGGAGAGAGCUCUGUAUCAAGGCAGCUCCUGCAAGCUGAGUUUACCCAUCCCUCAAAUGUCUGAUCCAGUAUGCGUGCACCAAGUGGUCCCAAGGACAGGGAUUUCUGCUCUGAUCCCUGGUGAACAAGGCUAUCUUCCUAUAAAUUGGGAACAGAAAUGUGGACAUUUGGACCUGUACCUGCAGCUUCAGCAUCACAGAGCCAAAGGGUGGUGGACCACACACGUGCACCAACACCAUAAUCAGUGGGUUCAGAGCAGUCUGGUCUGUGAAGAGCAAAGCCAUCAGGAUUACAGAUACUUUCCUCCAGGUCUCAGGCCUUCCAUUAACCUGAAUUUAACGAAGCACAAUGACAGCAGCAUUCAUUUUUCUUGA